This 1001-nucleotide ribosomal RNA is filed under the name Bacillus sp. (in: firmicutes). Its description in RNAcentral is "bacterial SSU rRNA". It matches the Rfam family "Bacterial small subunit ribosomal RNA", at positions 63 to 1097 of the family's 1533-position model. Lineage: Bacteria; Bacillati; Bacillota; Bacilli; Caryophanales; Bacillaceae. The record is from RNAcentral.
CAGGCGGAAUCUAGAGGGGAGCUUGCUCCCAAAGAUUAGCGGCGGACGGGUGAUUAACACGUGGGCAACCUGCCUGUAAAACUGGGAUAACUCCGGGAAACCGGGGCUAAUACCGGAUAAUAUCUAUUUAUACAUAUAAUUAGAUUGAAAGAUGGUUCUGCUAUCACUUACAGAUGGGCCCGCGGCGCAUUAGCUAGUUGGUGAGGUAACGGCUCACCAGGGCGACGAUGCGUAGCCAACCUGAGAGGGUGAUCGGCCACACUGGGACUGAGACACGGCCCAAACUCCUACGGGAGGCAGCAGUAGGGAAUCUUCCGCAAUGGACGAAAGUCUGACGGAGCAACGCCGCGUGAGUGAUGAAGGUUUUCGGAUCGUAAAACUCUGUUGUUAGGGAAAAACAAGUACCGGAGUAACUGCCGGUACCUUGACGGUACCUAACCAAAAAGCCACGGCUAACUACGUGCCAGCAGCCGCGGUAAUACGUAGGUGGCAAGCGUUGUCCGGAAUUAUUGGGCGUAAAGCGCGCGCAGGCGGUUCCUUAAGUCUGAUGUGAAAGCCCACGGCUCAACCGUGGAGGGUCAUUGGAAACUGGGGAACUUGAGUGCAAAAAAGGAAAGUGGAAUUCCAGUGUAGCGGUGAAAUGCGUAGAGAUUUGGAGGAAACCAGUGGCGAAGGCGACUUUCUGGUCUGUACUGACGCUGAGGCGCGAAGCGUGGGGAGCAACAGGAUUAAAUCCCUGGUAUCCCGCCGUAACGAUGAGUGCUAGUGUUAGAGGGUUCCGCCUUUAUGCUGCAGCAACGCAUUAGCACUCCCCCGGGGAAUACACCGCAGGUUGAACUCAAGGAUUGACGGGGCCGCACAGCGGGGAGCAUGUGUUUAUUCAAGCACGCGAGACCUUACAGGUCUGACUCCCUGACAUCUAAAAAAGACUUCCCUUCGGGGACGAUGACGGUGUGCUGUUGCCUCGCUCUGCCAGAAAUUUGGUUAAUCCCCACGACGCA